This is a long non-coding RNA of Dreissena polymorpha, 2068 nucleotides long. RefSeq lists it as uncharacterized. NCBI's taxonomy places the organism in Eukaryota, Metazoa, Mollusca, Bivalvia, Myida, Dreissenidae. The record is from RefSeq and is a predicted model, not a curated record. The transcript has 2 exons.
CGUUUUUGGAUUAUCAAUAUCAACAUUCACUCAUUCAGAGCUAUUAUCUGUUUUAUUUGUAAACAAUCUAUGUUUUACAUACAAUAGUUUUCAUUUCAUAGUUCACUUAUUACUGUAUGCUAUUUGUUUCAGAUACCAGUGCCCUCACAUCUGUCAUGAUCUGAGUUCGGAUUUAGAGUUUGAAGUUCGAGAUAGUCAGAUAGAAUAUGGAUUUCACGAACGACCUAAGUUUUUUUGGAUUUGCGGUGACUGAACAGGAGCAGGAGAGUUUUGUGGUGUCAUCUGAAACUGAUAGAAAUGAACACAAUGUUGAGUCUGGAGACCAAGCGGAUAAUUUAUUGUUUGACUGCAACAAUAAUGAAAAAGCCACAGAGCAACCUUUAGACUUAGAAUGUUCUGUUGAAAUUGUUGUUGACAAUAAGAAGAAACAUGAAUGCAAUAUGUGUGUAAACAAAUAUAGCACAAGAACAGGAUACAAAAGGCAUUUAGUUAGCCAUUCCAACGAUGGUCAAAAGUGCACUGUUUGCGAAAAAGUGUUCUAUUCCACCUAUGACUUAAAGAAUCAUAUGAGCAACCACAGUAACUUACGCACUUUCUCGUGCAUUGAAUGUGAAAAAAACCUUUAAAACAAAACGCGACUUAAAUGUUCACAGAACAAGGCUACACAAAUCUUACUUGAAAUUUGUGUGUGAAGUAUGUGGGAAGGGUUACAAUUAUAGAAAUGAGUUAGAUGGACACAGGGCAAAACAUGAUGGGUCCAAACCAUUUAAGUGUCCUAAGUGCAACAAAGCAUAUCAGUACUUGCCUAACCUGUCACAGCAUGUGUGCGGAAAAAUGGAAUCACCCAAGUGUGAUAAGUGUGGAAGCAUUUUCAAGACAAAACACUACCUUCAAGAACACAUGAAGGCUCAUGAUGACCCCGAACAACAUCAGUGUUAUGUGUGUGGAACUUUUUACAAAUAUAGAUCUUCUUUUUAAAGACACAAAAAGAAGACUGGUCAUUAGUGUUUUAAAUGCUUUAGUCAGAAUAAGUACAGAUAAAACUCUGGAUAUAUUAUAAUGUUAUAAAGGCAUAUAAUUACGGUAUACAGUUAUAUCUGUUUACUGUAAGGCCUUAGCAGAAACUUAAUGGCAAUAGUAAACCCUUAUGAACCUUAUAAGCACUUGUUUUUCAGCCAGUCUUCAUCAUGAUGUUUGCUCAGAAGAUUUGCUUAGCAAUUAGGAAAUCAUUUUGUUGACAUAAAGAAGCAUUGCUUUUGAGAAAUUACCAAUACCCGGUAUACCAGCUGCAUGAAAUUAAUUCAUAUUGUGGCAUUUAUUUUUUUAAUGCAGUCAUCUGAAUAUUAAUCCUGCCUUAAAAUAUAGUGUAGCAUUGUUGGAUUGUGUCCUUCUUAAGAUGAUGAUGAUGAUGAUUAUUUGGUUGAUGAUUAACAGCAACAAACUGUCUGAAUACGUUUUAUUUAACAUUCUUGCUAUUUCAGGUAAUGACAUUUAUUGUUGGAGAAUAUUACAACUGUUAGAAUUUAAAUUGUUAUUAAACAGUAUUUGCAUAUUGGGUAUAUAUGUGUUAGGGCUCUGCAUUAAGGUUAUUCUGUUAAAACUACAUGUAUUUGAAAGCUUGAUGCAUGGUAUAUGUUUGUUAGGGCUAACUUGCAGUUGUUAAAUAAUAUUUUCUACCCCAUUUACGAGAUGCCAUGGUGACAAGCCAGCAUUUGAUUGUAUGAAGUUUUAUUUCUUUGAGCAAGAUGCUUGAUGAUAAUUGCAACUUUUUCUUUCAACAAUAUAUGAAUUGUGUUAUUUGUGUAUAUAUUUUUCAUUCAGUUUUCACAAGACAAAAGAAACAGGCUUUCUUAUAUUCAUUCUUUAUUGAAGUGUCUAUUGACUGAAAAGUAUUAACUGUAUAAUAUAAAUGUAUAAAAUCAUGGCAGGAGCUGCUGGUCUUUAAGUUCAUUUUAAGUUUGACUAUUGUUUUAAUUUUUGCUGGUUUAAUGUUGAGUAUUAUCAAUAAAUGUGUUCUUUGUAGUUUCCUAAUACAAUAUUACAGAAAAGAAUAAAUAACUAAACAGAG